GCCAUGAGCGAUGUCACCCACCUAUAAUCCAGCUACCAGGGAAGCUGAGCCUGGUAGAUCUUUAGUUUAAGAGUUCUGAGCUUUAGUGAGCCAUGUUGAUGGGAUGUUCACACUAAGUUUGGCAUCAGUGUGGUGAGCCCCUGGAAUUAGAGGACCACUAGGUUGUCUAAGAAGGGUUACAAAUGGGAGCAGGUUAGAGCUCCCAGACCACUUAGUAGUGGGAUCAGGCCUGUGAGCAGCCCCUGUACCAGUUCCAGCUCAGAGUGAGAUGGAGAGACCCAGUCUUU
This 287-nucleotide non-coding RNA is filed under the name Phascolarctos cinereus (koala). Lineage: Eukaryota; Metazoa; Chordata; Mammalia; Diprotodontia; Phascolarctidae. The record is from RNAcentral.